This 314-nucleotide ribosomal RNA is filed under the name uncultured bacterium. RNAcentral describes it as "bacterial SSU rRNA". It matches the Rfam family "Bacterial small subunit ribosomal RNA", at positions 28 to 334 of the family's 1533-position model. The record is from RNAcentral.
GAUGAACGCUGGCGGCGUGCUUAACACAUGCAAGUCGAACGAAGCAUAAGAGUUGCUUGCAACACUUAUGACUUAGUGGCGGACGGGUGAGUAACGCGUGGGUAACCUACCCUGUACAGGGGGAUAACAGUUAGAAAUGACUGCUAAUACCGCAUAAGCACACGCUGUCACAUGACAGAGGGUGAAAAGAUUUAUCGGUACAGGAUGGGCCCGCGUCUGAUUAGCUAGUUGGUGAGGUAAAGGCUUACCAAGGCGACGAUCAGUAGCCGGCUUGAGAGAGUGAACGGCCACAUUGGAACUGAGACACGGUCCAA